UGAUUCCUGGGGUGUUCGCCAGCUGUUAACGUCCUCGAGCCUAAUUACAAACCCAGGGAAUCAUCCGUGAGUACCCGUGUGCAUGUCCGCGCGACGGAAAGCCUUAGGUACUUCGAUGAUUACCCACCUUGAACCUAAUUGGUUCAAGGGCAACGGCAGCAGCGGCACUCUGGGGCUUUA
RNAcentral lists this non-coding RNA (180 nucleotides) under Oceanospirillum linum. RNAcentral describes it as "6S / SsrS RNA". It matches the Rfam family "6S / SsrS RNA". From Rfam's summary of the family: E. coli 6S RNA was the first non coding RNA to be sequenced, but its function was unknown until recently. It consists of 184 nucleotides that fold into an extended hairpin structure with a large single-stranded internal bulge. The record is from Rfam by way of RNAcentral. Lineage: Bacteria; Pseudomonadati; Pseudomonadota; Gammaproteobacteria; Oceanospirillales; Oceanospirillaceae. RNAcentral also lists the same sequence under 1 other name.